Molecule: ribosomal RNA, 425 nt
Filed under: uncultured bacterium
Lineage: Bacteria
Description: partial 16S ribosomal RNA
Rfam family: Bacterial small subunit ribosomal RNA
Source: RNAcentral
GAAUAUUGGACAAUGGGCGAAAGCCUGAUCCAGCCAUGCCGCGUGUGUGAAGAAGGUAUUCGGAUUGUAGAGCACUUUAAGUUGGGAGGAAGGGCAGUACGCGAAUCACUUGCACAUUUGACGUUACCGACAGAAUGAGCACCGGCUAACUCUGUGCCAGCAUCCGCGGUAAUACAGAGGUGGCAAGCGUUAAUCGGAAUUACUGGGCGUAAAGCGCGCGUAGGUGGUUCGUUAAGUUGGAUGUGAAAUCCCCGGGCUCAACCUGGGAACUGCAUCCAAAACUGGCGAGCUAGAGUAGGGCAGAGGGUGGUGGAAUUUCCUGUGUAGCGGUGAAAUGCGUAGAUAUAGGAAGGAACACCAGUGGCGAAGGCGACCACCUGGGCUCAUACUGACACUGAGGUGCGAAAGCGUGGGGAGCAAACAGG